UACGUAGGGGGCCAGCGUUGUCCGGACUUACUGGGCGUAAAGCGCACGUAGGCGGAUCUUUAAGUCAGGGGUGAAAUCCCGGAGCUCAACUCCAGAACUGCCUUUGAUACUGAGGGUCUCGAGUCCGGGAGAGGUGAGUGGAACUGCGAGUGUAGAGGUGAAAUUCGUAGAUAUUCGCAAGAACACCAGUGGCGAAGGCGGCUCACUGGCCCGGUACUGACGCUGAGGUGCGAAAGCGUGGGGAGCAAACAGG
This 253-nucleotide ribosomal RNA is filed under the name uncultured bacterium. Its description in RNAcentral is "partial 16S ribosomal RNA". It matches the Rfam family "Bacterial small subunit ribosomal RNA", at positions 524 to 776 of the family's 1533-position model. The record is from RNAcentral.